UUACUCUGGUUUCUCUUCAGAUCACAAAAAUCUUUUGCCUUUUACUAAAGGUUUCCAUAGAGAGAAACAGUUUUGAGUUUUGAACCAAUAUUUGAAGGCUUGUUUCUGUAAAGCU
Molecule: small nuclear RNA, 115 nt
Organism: Sorex araneus (European shrew)
Lineage: Eukaryota; Metazoa; Chordata; Mammalia; Eulipotyphla; Soricidae
Product: U5 spliceosomal RNA
Exons: 1
Source: RefSeq, a predicted model, not a curated record